CCUUCGAUAGCUCAGUUGGUAGAGCGGAGGACUGUAGUGGAAGCUCGCACGGCCAUCCUUAGGUCGCUGGUUCGAAUCCGGCUCGAAGGA
This 90-nucleotide transfer RNA is filed under the name Canis lupus familiaris (dog). It matches the Rfam family "tRNA". Rfam says of the family: Transfer RNA (tRNA) molecules are approximately 80 nucleotides in length. Their secondary structure includes four short double-helical elements and three loops (D, anti-codon, and T loops). Further hydrogen bonds mediate the characteristic L-shaped molecular structure. tRNAs have two regions of fundamental functional importance: the anti-codon, which is responsible for specific mRNA codon recognition, and the 3' end, to which the tRNAs corresponding amino acid is attached (by aminoacyl-tRNA synthetases). tRNAs cope with the degeneracy of the genetic code in two manners: having more than one tRNA (with a specific anti-codon) for a particular amino acid; and 'wobble' base-pairing, i.e. permitting non-standard base-pairing at the 3rd anti-codon position. The record is from Rfam by way of RNAcentral. Lineage: Eukaryota; Metazoa; Chordata; Mammalia; Carnivora; Canidae. RNAcentral also lists the same sequence under 1 other name.